RNAcentral lists this ribosomal RNA (502 nucleotides) under uncultured bacterium. RNAcentral's name for it is "partial 16S ribosomal RNA". It matches the Rfam family "Bacterial small subunit ribosomal RNA", at positions 30 to 523 of the family's 1533-position model. The record is from RNAcentral.
AUUGAACGCUGGCGGCAUGCCUUACACAUGCAAGCCGAACGGCAGCAUAGGAGCUUGCUCCUGAUGGCGAGUGGCGAACGGGUGAGUAAUAUAUCGGAACGUGCCCUAGAGUGGGGGAUACCUAGUCGAACGAAUAGCUAAUACCGCACACGAUCUACGGAUGAAAGGGGGGGAUCGCAAGACCUCAUGCUCCUGGAGCGGCCGAUAUCUGAUUAGCUAGUUGGUGGAGUAAAAGCCUACCAAGGCAACGAUCAGUAGUUGUUCUGGGACGACGAACAGCCACACUGAGACUGAGAGACGGCCCAGACUGCUAGGGGAGGGAGCAGUGGGGAGUUUUGGACAAGGGUGCAAAACCUGAUCCAGCAAUGCAGCGUGAGUCAAGAAGGCCUUCGGGUUGUAAAACUCUUUUGUCAGGGAAGAAACGGUAGUAGCGAAUAACUACUACUAAUGACGGUAGCUGAAGAAUAAGCACCGGCUAACUACGUGCAAGCAGCCGCGGUAA